GGAUUGUAAACUCCUGUUGUUGGGGAAGAUAAUGACGGUACCCAACAAGGAAGUGACGGCUAACUACGUGCCAGCAGCCGCGGUAAAACGUAGGUCACAAGCGUUGUCCGGAAUUACUGGGUGUAAAGGGAGCGCAGGCGGGAAGACAAGUUGGAAGUGAAAUCUAUGGGCUCAACCCAUAAACUGCUUUCAAAACUGUUUUUCUUGAGUAGUGCAGAGGUAGGCGGAAUUCCCGGUGUAGCGGUGGAAUGCGUGGAUAUCGGGAGGAACACCAGUGGCGAAGGCGGCCUACUGGGCACCAACUGACGCUGAGGCUCGAAAGUGUGGGUAGCAAACAGGAUUAGAUACCCUGGUAGUCCACACCGUAAACGAUGAUUAUUAGGUGUUGGAGGAUUGACCCCUUCAGUGCCGCAGUUAACACAAUAAGUAAUCCACCUGGGGAGUA
Molecule: ribosomal RNA, 445 nt
Filed under: uncultured bacterium
Lineage: Bacteria
Description: bacterial SSU rRNA
Rfam family: Bacterial small subunit ribosomal RNA
Source: RNAcentral